This 71-nucleotide transfer RNA is filed under the name bacterium. Its description in RNAcentral is "tRNA-Trp". It matches the Rfam family "tRNA". Rfam says of the family: Transfer RNA (tRNA) molecules are approximately 80 nucleotides in length. Their secondary structure includes four short double-helical elements and three loops (D, anti-codon, and T loops). The record is from RNAcentral.
GGGUCCAUAGUUCAAUGGUAGAAUGACGGUCUCCAAAACCGUUGAUCGAGGUUCGACUCCUCGUGGACCCG